GAGUUUGAUCGUGGCUCAGGACGAACGCUGGCGGCGUGCUUAACACAUGCAAGUCGAACGAGAAUCUACUGAAAGAGUUUUCGGACAAUGGAAGUAGAGGAAAGUGGCGGACGGGUGAGUAACGCGUGAGGAACCUGCCUUGAAGAGGGGACAACAGUUGGAAACGACUGCUAAUACCGCAUGAUGCAUAAGGGUCGCAUGAUUCUUAUGCCAAAGAUUUAUCGCUUCAAGAUGGCCUCGCGUCUGAUUAGCUAGUUGGCGGGGUAACGGCCCACCAAGGCGACGAUCAGUAGCCGGACUGAGAGGUUGAACGGCCACAUUGGGACUGAGAUACGGCCCAGACUCCUACGGGGAGGCAGCAGGUAGGGAAUUAGUUGGGACAAGUGGGCG
This 390-nucleotide ribosomal RNA is filed under the name uncultured microorganism. RNAcentral's name for it is "bacterial SSU rRNA". It matches the Rfam family "Bacterial small subunit ribosomal RNA", at positions 9 to 377 of the family's 1533-position model. The record is from RNAcentral.